GGGUCCAUAGCUCAGCCUGGUAGAGCACUCGGCUCUUAACCGAGUGGUCGGGGGUUCGAAGCCCUCUGGACCCG
RNAcentral lists this transfer RNA (74 nucleotides) under Candidatus Woesearchaeota archaeon. RNAcentral's name for it is "tRNA-Lys". It matches the Rfam family "tRNA". Rfam says of the family: Transfer RNA (tRNA) molecules are approximately 80 nucleotides in length. Their secondary structure includes four short double-helical elements and three loops (D, anti-codon, and T loops). Lineage: Archaea; Nanobdellati; Candidatus Woesearchaeota. The record is from RNAcentral.